This is a long non-coding RNA of Cygnus olor (mute swan), 5181 nucleotides long. RefSeq lists it as uncharacterized. The record is from RefSeq and is a predicted model, not a curated record. The transcript is spliced from 3 exons. Lineage: Eukaryota; Metazoa; Chordata; Aves; Anseriformes; Anatidae.
CCUUAAGGAGCUAAACCAAAAGCUGACGACUCAUUCUGCAGCCUCUGCCUGAGCAUCUCUGUAAGAAGCCCUGGUUUGGGGGAUGUGGCCUGUAAACACAGGUCCUCAGUCACCGCAGGGAGCUCGGUGGGCACAGAGGAGCAGCUCUCCAUCGCUCGCAGGGCACGGGGAUGCUGGGGACAGGCAGGACCACUUGGGCAGAGAGCUGAAAUUUGGAGGCUUGAUGGAUAGGCUGGGCAGAAAGCAGGGACGAAGGGGCUGAGGGGAAACCAGAGCAAAAGAGAGGAGCCCUUUGCCCCUUCAUGAGAGCAGAAAACAGCUCAAGGUGCUUGGGGUACGUGGGGUGGUGCUGAUUCUGAGCACAGAGCAGAAAACCAGGGUGCGGCAGAGCUGGAUGCCCUUGCCAUGGGCAAGACGGGGUAAAUGGCAGCCCAGCGGGGCUCUGGAUACUGGGGUUUAUUUCUCGGCCAGAUCCAAGCUUUUAACCAAGUCUGUCAUCUCACAGUGACUCUCUUGCUCCCCCCAGUGCUGCGUUCACCCGUCUCAGCCGAGAGGCCGAGGUCCCUGAGCAUCCCGUGCCCGGUUCCUCCCCACUUUCCCAGUUCCCACUUCUCCCCAGGAACACUUCUCCAGGUCGGGGACCCAGCUUUUUGCCCCGGUUUCUUUUCAGAAACAUCAGCCCCCAUUUUUCCCAGCCUAAACAGCCUAUGUGCAGAAGCACAGCGUGCGAUCGGCCUCCUAAUCAGCCGAUCUGGCUCUCGUCUAUUUUUUAAUCAUAGGUUUCAUGAUUUGUCACUUUCUUCUUAUCAAAAUUUACAAUCAGCCUGUGCCGGUUGCAGCCGAUGAGUAACAGGUUUCUGCUGGAGAGCCCCAAGGUUCUGGUUUGCCAUCCACCCCCCGUUACGCACACAUCCAGAUAUCUCCCCCCCCCCCCAAAAUUCACAGUUAUUUGUUUCACCUACACCAGCCCCGACCUACACGAAUGCUCUCUGCUCAAAUGGCUUUGUACCCGUUGCUGCACAUUUUAACCCCUCUCCCACGGAGCUCUGGUUCUAGCUCCUGUAUUUCCAGAAAGGGGGGGCGGGGAGGGGAAUAUUUCCCCUCCUGACAGUGCUGAAUAAACAGCGCUUUUGUUUUUUCCCAUGGGAAAAAAAAAAAAAAAACAACCUGAAAGGAAAACCCAGAGCAUUAGCUUGGUGUCAGAAGGAAAGGGAACCUCCCUGGGCAAGGUGCGUUUGUGUGAUUUGCAUGAUUUGAAGAGGAAUAAGAGGAACCCCGGUUAGGAAGCGGAGCGAGGAGGGUUAUGGGCAGGUUUCUCAGGAAGGCAGCAGCGCUCUGACAGCACCCAGCUGCCAUUGAUCCGCCUCGUUCCCGAGCAAGUUAGAGCCUGCACCUGUCCCAAAGCACUUUUAGGGAGGAGUGGAGGAAGCCUGGGGCUUGUUAACACGACGCUAAGGAGCCAAGCUUUUAAAGCUGGGACCUUGGCUUCCUGAAGGGUUUCAGGGUCAAAGCCGAGCUCCCUUAGCCCUCACCCUCUGCUUCACCCGGUGGAAGCCGGAGCGGGGCUUUAACCUGCAAUCCUCCCGCACAGGAUUACCGGGGGCGGCCUCAGCGUGUUCCCACGGGCUUGCUUGUGCCUUGCUGAUCCCUUUGGAGAGGGGGAAAUGCCUCCGGGAGCCUGCUGCUGCCUCAGCCCCAUGGCUGGAACUGGGGCUCGGCUGCUCCCAAACCGUCCUGGGCUGGGCUUUGCACUGCGAAGGGACUUGGGUUUCUUUUUUUUUUUUUUUUGAAGCCCAAAAUUGCAACCAUGAGGAUUCCUGUUUGCAGGCAACUUCCAGCUCGCUGUGCCUGCUUGGUGCUGGGCCACGCUCGGGAGUUUGGGCUGUGGAGCCUGGAGCCCGGCACUGGGACCGAGCCACUUGAAAGGAUCAAGAUGUUGUUGUCAGAUUUAACAGACUUUCCACUGGAAAAAAGCAGGAGGCUGCAGGAGAGCUGGGCUUGCGGCUAAAGCGGGUGAAGCUGUCAUCAGAUAGGCUUGGGAAUAAAGAAAAAAACUCUCCCACAGCAAGAAGUCAGGUGAGCACGUGGAGAGGGGGAAGCCAGUGCCAGAAGAAGAAGCCCAGAGCCACCCCUGCUGAGAAGUGCUGGGGGAAAGGGGUGCUGCUGGAGCCCCUUUUUAAGGAGUGGGGUGGGGUUUUGGGGGGCAUUUGCUCAUUACAGGUGAGAGCAGAGGAGGUUCUCUGGAGUUUUGGCUGAGGAAAAAAAAAAAUAAAUAGGGAAAUAAUUUCCUGAUCUUUUGGCUACUGAAACUCAAGGUGUUGGUGCUCAGCUAGGAUUUCUCUGCUCACCGUCACUGCAGACAUGGACUCUGCGUGUUUCAGUAAAACCAAGGCUGUUUGGAGGAAAAAGUCCAGUGCAGAAACUUCAGUUUCAUCAGAUUUUGUCGGGGGAGGUAAAAACAACAGCAUCCCCGUGUCCAAGUCAGGCCUGGCUGUGCUGUGUGGCUGCAUGGCUGCUGGUUUUGGAGGAGACCCGAGCAGGGCAGGAGCGAUGGGGGAUGCUUAUAGCCUCCUUAGCGCAGAUCCCCUCUGCCAAAGUGCUGUGUGGUAGGGAAACGUCCCCUCCCGUCCUGCCUUCCCCAUCAUUAAGCAAUGGAAAAAUUCAUCCAGCUUGAGUAAAACCUCCCCGCAGACCUGCCCUGCCUCUGACCGCCUGUCCUGCCCUGGGAUCCCCACCCAGGGGACCUGGGGGGUCCUCGUCCACCCCAUGCUCCCUCCUCUGCGCCCACCCUGGUGGGAGUCAGAGCCCACAUGGGAAGGGUUUGCUGGGGUUUUCCAGGCAUUGCACCACCGUCUUGUGACAUUUUCUUUUGCUUUGCUGUUUGAAACAGCAGUGUGAUCCUGGCAGUGCAGAGGGAAAUGGUGAUAAUUGCAGGGAGCACGUAAAACCCAGGGAUGGGAAGGAGCCUGGGGGGGGCACAGCCCAGGCACAGCAAAGCAGCUCUCCUCCCUGGCUCCAACCUAACUCUUCUGCCCACCCCACUAGCAGGAAUUUUCCUGCAUUUCUUUGGGGUUGAAGAAGUCCUGAGCACGCUAGGUGACAGCAGCACCCAUGGGACCAUAAUCUGUGGGUCCCUGGGGGCUGUGGGUGGGUUUUUCUUGCAGCCAGGAGGGAUCAUGGCAGGCAGCGCCCUGCCCCUACCGGCACAGCUGCAUCGCACAUCUGGCCCCGCGCAUCGCCAGGGAGAGCAAAAAGAGCUUACUUUCUAAAUGGACAGGAAGGAGGAAGUAUUAUCUUAGCUUUUUUGGACGGAGAAUGAAAGUGGAAGAAUUAAAUGCCCUGCCCAAGGUCAGGGAAGCUGUCCGAGCUCCUGGGAAAGGGGCCAGACAGUCUGAGCUCCCUGGUCGGUGCUGGAGACGUGCCUGAGGCUGCCCCGCAUGGCCCAGGGCUUGGGCUCACCCUGCUUGGAGCGGGGAGCCCCCGAGGACCCUGGCUACAUCCAUGCCAUGCAAUGGGCCGAGGUUUGCUCCCAUGGCAGGUGGCACAGCGUGAUGUGCACCGGGGGAACAGAGCCCUGCUCUGCCCCAGGGCAUCCCAGCAGCCUCCCCGCAGCAGGAGCACCCCUGUCCCCCACAUACCCCUGUGCCCACUGUCCCGGCAGCGCAGCUUUUCUGCAGGCAGCCAGACCCCAGCUUUUAAUCUGCAGGCAUCUGAAAUAUGCGGUGUUCCCUCUCAUUUGAGCUCGAACACAGCCUGCUGGAUUCAUGCUUCGGGUUCUGCCCUCAUCAAGGUGCAGCUCGACAGGGAAAGGGGACCCUGCUUUGACCAGGUCCCCCAGGCUGCAUCGCUGUCUCGCUCCUGGCUGGCUUUGAACUGGAAUGGUGAUGGCAGUUCAUGAGCAUUAUUAGCUUCUCUUGUUAUUAACUGAAGAUAAGGUCAAAGUCCCUUGGGGACGAAUGCUGAGUUUCCAGAGACUCUGACUUCAGAGUGAGGCCGCAAGUGAAGAGGAGGCUCGGGAAGAAGCAGCGACGUUUCCAGGGAUGCCAAAGCCUUGGUUUUACUUUUUCUUUGUCUGGAGCCUGGGGCUAAGCAUGGUGCACACCCAGUCAUUUAGUCAGUGAGAUCUGCAAGGCUUCUGCACAAAGCGUGCUUCCUUCUCAAAUGCUGUUACUUGAAAUUGAGCGUGAACUUGUACAGAGCCCGGCUCCCCUCUGGCACCACUCGGAGUGCCGCCGGCUGCUCUGCAGCAAACCAAGGCAGCUCAGGUCCACCCAGCCCACUUGGAUCCACUUUCCCCACAUCUUGAAGUGUGCCACAGCUCUGGGAGACAACCAGGCCUCAGUUAAAAGCUCACUCGAGCCAAUGCAACUCUGUUGCUCGCUCCAGCAGGCUCUGGUGAGGCUUGUUCCGAAGGCAUGGGAUUUUUGCUGCUUUUGAGGAUUAUCAAAGCCAAACCCCGGUUUCCUUACACGCUGGAAACAACAAAACACAAAUGUUCCUGGAAAGCAAAUCCAUCAGGACUGCGAACAUGGGCGCAUAACAGCUGCAGCUGGAUUGAAGCACAGGCACACACCAGGGCACUGCAGACACCCAGGAGAAGAAGUCAGGUCCACGGGUCCCAAUUUACGGCCGCCUCCUUGCAGUGCCAAAUGCCCACUUCCAUGGGCGAUUUGUGCAGCCAGGUUACACCUCAGCCGGUCUCUGUAUAUAUGUUUUUAUUAACCUGACCUUUUCAAGCUGUUAACACGGUCCGUGGGAUGACGCCUUGAAGCCUUACAGGAUUUUUCGGCGGUGGCAGUAAAUAGCUUCUCCUGACACGUUUGGGGAGAGGCAGCUUUGGCCUUUCGGUGGUACACCAUAAACAGCCUGCACGCCUUGCUCUCAGCAUCCUGAAAGGCUUUGCUGGCUUUUUGGGAAUCUGCAGGGGGAGGCAGGAGUGAAAACGAGAACUGGAGUGUUUACAGCCUGUGGGAACUCGUGGCCAGCCUCCGCCAGCCCCCUCUUUGCAGGGGAUUCUCCUGCCCAAAUGUCCCCUGUGUUGGAGACAGCUCUGAAGAGACAUUUAGGGACCUGAAUCACACCCAUUUCCAUCAGUCGGUUUCUGAUGUAACCCUUAAAUCCUGGGCUCAAACACCCCGUGUUUUGAGAUAAAUGAUUUGGGGCUACAAAAGCGUCCCUGGU